CAUGAGAGCUACUAAAAAGGAAGUCUUUGCAGAUAAAUGCAACAGAACUGGUCUCAUAAAGUAACUGAGUACCAGAUUGAAGUCCCAUGUUAGGGUAGGGUUUCCCCAAACCCUUAGUAAACCUAGACAAUACCAGAUGGGCACAUAUGGAGAAUCCUUCUACCAGAGGAUGAAAAGCUGACAUUGCAGGCAAAUGGACCUUAACUGAACUACUUGAUAACCCUGAUUUCCUUAGAAUCAACAGAUAAUCCAGGAUGACAAAGUGGCACUGAACCAGGAAGAAAGGAGGCAGCAACGACACCAAUGGAAGAAUCUUUCAUUUCUGCAGCUAAGUAGUGCAGGUUGAUCUCUUUCUACUAUUCAGUAAUACGGAGCUGUUGGUCUUCCAUAGAGUUGGAGGAUUCUAAUCUCGUGAGCCAUCGGGGUCAGGAGCUUGAACGAUGGUUGGACACAGAGGUGAAGCAAAUGCAACGCCUGGAACAGAGCAAAGGCUGUCUGGGUGGAAGAUAGCACUGCUUCAUAGGAACGGCCCUUGAGUAGCCAGUCAUCGAGAUAUGGGAAAACUAGGAUUGCUUCUUGUUGGAGGAAAGGGGCGUGUCCGGGAGGAGUUAUCGCCGCCGAGGCCACAAAGAGCCAUCUGCUUUGCAUCCGGCCCCUGGGAAGGGGGAUGUGAAUGAGCUUGGGGGGAAAUGCACCUGAUGCAGGGUAACUACAGCAAGCAACUUGCUCUGCACCAAGUGCCGGGGCAGGAAACAGGAGGCGACACCUGCUCAGCAUUCAGCACCCCUGGAGAGCACGUGUAAGUGGGGAGAUUACUGUUCCGGGCACGUCACAGAAAACAAAGCCAGACACAGCCCCUGCCCCAGAGAUUGUACCAGGCCCGGAUUACAGGUGAUGCAAAGCCAGGGCACAGUGAAACGGACGGGAGGCAGGGCUGGGGAGCGGGCCGAGGACUGCGGCUCCUGGCAGGCACUGGGCAUCCAGCAGACAGCGUGAGUGGGAAGGAGACGCUGGAGAGGCGAGUUACCUUGCGCGCCCCGACGGUUUAACUGAUACAUCACCCCACGCACCGUGCCCCCGGCCCGCAUCCCGCAGGGCCCAGCCCCGGGGCAGCCCAGCCCCCAGGACGGCGCUGUCCCCGCCAGGCCGCGCCCGGCCAGCGUCAGAGUCGCUUCCCCACCCCCAUGUGCAGCAGGGGGAAUC
Long non-coding RNA from Mauremys mutica (yellowpond turtle), 1203 nucleotides. RefSeq lists it as uncharacterized. The record is from RefSeq and is a predicted model, not a curated record. NCBI's taxonomy places the organism in Eukaryota, Metazoa, Chordata, Testudines, Geoemydidae. The transcript has 3 exons.